This 76-nucleotide transfer RNA is filed under the name Acidobacteria bacterium CG_4_9_14_3_um_filter_49_7. Its description in RNAcentral is "tRNA-Ala". It matches the Rfam family "tRNA". From Rfam's summary of the family: Transfer RNA (tRNA) molecules are approximately 80 nucleotides in length. Their secondary structure includes four short double-helical elements and three loops (D, anti-codon, and T loops). RNAcentral also lists the same sequence under 1 other name. Lineage: Bacteria; Pseudomonadati; Acidobacteriota. The record is from RNAcentral.
GGGGCUAUGGUGCAGCUGGGAGCACGCUACACUGGCAGUGUAGAGGUCACGGGUUCGAUCCCCGUUAGCUCCACCA